CCGUGAUGCAACCGUGAUGUGUUGCUUGUGAAAAACAUUGAGGUCAUCGACAGGAAGUGCGUGCGGGAUUGUUGUGUUGAGGGUUGAGCGAAAAAACACAAACAAAAUAACUCUUUGUUUCUGUUUAUUACCAUUCCGAAUAUUGGUAGAGCAACUGUUUCUGCGUGGAAUAAAGAAACAUUAAAAAGCAAAGGUCAAAAUAUACAGGCAAAUACUCUAAUUUGCCUUCAACAGAGAAGUAAGAACGAAGGAAAACUGCUGUCACGGAAAGAAGGUUAUGUUUCCAAGAUGCAACAACUGAAGUGGUUAAGUUGUGUCGCCCUUACCUGCAUACUUCUGCCCUUGUUCGUCCAUGGAAAUGCAGAUGCUGAUAACUGCAGUAUCCGUCAAGCUCUACGCAACAGCGUCAGAAAUAAGCUGAGAGUUAGCUGUGAUGUCAAUGACAUUUGUACAGCUGUACAUUGUCAUGGAAUCUUUCUAGAAAAUAUAUUCUCCCCUGGAAUCAUUACCAAACAGAAUGAUACCAUAUGCUUUGGCACGAUAAUCAAUCACUGUGAUACACCUCUCUCCAUGGAUGUCUACUUACAGUACAAUGCCAAGAGUUACUCUCUCAAGAAGAGACUCUACAACAAAUUAAAUGUGUCAAUAUAUCAGAAUACGUAUCUCUUUAUAGAAUUGUCACAUGAUAAAGAUGUUGUACCCCAUGUGGUCACAAUUAAGGUGUCGCUUAAAAUCAACAUGGCAGGGCAUACCCUUUCAUACCCUGUGGUUCCAGAGCAUACAUACACAUUACCAUCAUGUCCUGCUGGUGCCAUGACAACACCGCCCCUUACACUUCGGCCAUGCCUUGCACCAGUGUUCGAUUCUCAUACAAGCCGACCUGAACUACCUCACCCUCAGCAGCAGCACCACCACCAUAGUGAAGAGACUCAUUCCCAAAAAAUACAAUACAUAAAAUCAGCCACCUAUGGUAAACCAUGCAAUCCUAAAUCGGCAUAUUCUUGUCACCCGAAAGAAACCUGUACUUUUAGCAAUAUAUGUGAGUGUCAGUCAGAGCUGGUGAUGAACCAAUUUUCAGGAUUCUGUGAUGUAUCUGAUGCCAAAUAUGAAAAGCCUAUACAGCCUGCAAAGCCUAGAGAGUCUAUUUCUUCUCCAGCAUCUUCCAGAUCAAUGCAUCAUCCUGACUAUUUGAUACAGAAUACUGGUGCUCCUCUCUUGACAGAAAACGUUGCGAGUUCAACAGUGAAAAAUAGUGCCCUUAUCACAGGAUUAUCUGUUGGAGCUGCUGUUCUGCUUGCUACCAUCAUCUUGGUGGCCUUCAUCAUUUGGAAACGCCAGAAGAAUCAGACCAGUCAUGUUCCAUUAAUUGACAAUGAGGAAGUUGUUAUUUAAGAGAAUAUUUGGUUGCUUUUCUUUUGUCAAAGAAUUAUUUUUGCCUUAUAAUUUUCUUCCUGCAAUUCUUUUUAAUAGCAUAUAAUUUCUAGUUAAUUGAAUGUUUUGAUUUAUAAAACUAGUAUAUGAGUGUGUGUGUGUGUGUUUGUGUGUGUUUUUGUACCCUUGUCUUGACAUUGUGCUAAUUGUAAACAACUGUGGCUGUCAUACCAGCAGUGCUGUUUAUUUGCAAUCUGCCAUGAAAACCUGUCCAGACGAAUGGAUAAUAUCACUUUGCUUGGAAACCGGUAUGGGUUGACAACAGGAAGGGCAUCCCGCUGCAGAAAUCUGCCUCAACGAAUUCCAUCUGACCCAUGCAAGCAUGG
Molecule: unclassified non-coding RNA, 1757 nt
Filed under: Octopus sinensis (East Asian common octopus)
Lineage: Eukaryota; Metazoa; Mollusca; Cephalopoda; Octopoda; Octopodidae
Description: uncharacterized LOC115215539, transcript variant X3
Source: RNAcentral